RNAcentral lists this transfer RNA (65 nucleotides) under Cyrtorhinus lividipennis. Its description in RNAcentral is "tRNA-Asn". The record is from RNAcentral. Lineage: Eukaryota; Metazoa; Arthropoda; Insecta; Hemiptera; Miridae.
UUAAUCAAAGCCAAAAAGAGGCAUUUCAUUGUUAAUGAAACUAUUGAAUAAAAAUUCUGAUUAAA